RNAcentral lists this ribosomal RNA (455 nucleotides) under Semaeomyia sp. 293. Its description in RNAcentral is "eukaryotic LSU rRNA". Lineage: Eukaryota; Metazoa; Arthropoda; Insecta; Hymenoptera; Evaniidae. The record is from RNAcentral.
CCUGAGAAACCCGAAAGAUCGAACGGGGAGAUUCAUCGUCAGCGACGUCGGCUUUUCGGCGGUUCGUGAUGCGAGCGGCGUCUUUACGGGCGUCCGCUUCGCACGCGUCCGUUGUGUUUUCUAUGUCCGGCGGCGUCGGCGUGCACUUCUCCCCUAGUAGGACGUCGCGACCCGUUGGGUGUCGGUCUACGGCCCGAGCUGUCGCCUGUCACGGACGUUUCGGCGUCGCGUGGCAGACACUCGGUCGCCCGGCCGGCUGCCCGGCGGUACUCGCACGGUAUCUGGCCGCAAUCGAACUGCGUCUUAGGCCCGUCGCAAGCGCGGCCAGUGUCACCGGGGUGGGCGGACCUAGCGCCGUCCCUCCGGGCCUGGCCCGUUGUUAGCCGACGGUGUUCUCUGACUGGCCGUAUAUAUGGAUACCGGUCGGCGACGCUACUGCUUUGGGUACUUUCAGG